CCCAAACGGUCAAACCCCAAUUCCCUUGAGCGCGAUUACUGAGCAGAAGUGAGCCCUAACCCCACGCCUCCCACCCCCAAUCCAAAGCUCUCAGUCUCAUCCUCUCACCGUCGCGCUCUCCUCUCACCGUCGCGCUCUCCUCUCUGCAGUGGCACACGACCCUCGCACUACAGCCUGAACGACCCUCGCACACAGCGCACGACCCUCGUCCCUCGCAGGCUCGCACCCAGCGCCAGCAGUAGCAGAGCACGAGCCUCCUUCCUCGCACCCAGCAGUAGCAGAGCCCGACCCUCGCAACCUCGCACCCAGCAGUAGCAGAGCCACAACCCUCGCCAGUCGCCACCCACAACACAGCACCCACCAGUCACCGAUUCAAGUCUCCCACCCAGCCACCGAUUCAAGUCAGAUAUGGAGCCCGAGCCACCGAGUCAGGUUGGGGAGAUUAUUAUUAGUAAAUUGAAGGGAUUUUACUUGAAAGGUAAUUUCUUUUGUUUUUGUUACUACUUAACAUACGUGGUAAUAAUUUAGCUUAGAAACUCCACAAAUUGCUAGUAAUUACAAAGCCUUUCUUUAAUGGAUUGGUCUAAUACAUGAUCUCUGGUUCUAUUGUUGCCAUGGUUUGGGAGGGUAAAGGUGUUGUUGCAACUGGCCGAAAGUUGAUUGGAGCAACAAACCCUUUGGCAUCUGAGCCUGGAACUAUUCAUGGUGGUCUUGCAUCGAAUGUGCUUUCUAUAGAUCUUACCAUUCAUGGUAGAUUUGCUUGAAGAAGUUUCAUUGUUUUGUUGGAGAGGACACCAAGACGUGGCUAUCUGUUGUUGGAAAUUUGUUUUUAUUUUUUGUUGUGUUGACUAUUAAACCUUUAAACUUCUUUAAUUGUCGUAUUUUAAUUUCUUUUGUUGUUGAAUUUAUUGAAUCAAGACUUUUGUUAGUUAUGGUGUACUUGUAUUCUAUAAUUUCAAUGUUAUGACUUUGCAUAA
Molecule: long non-coding RNA, 977 nt
Organism: Arachis stenosperma
Lineage: Eukaryota; Viridiplantae; Streptophyta; Magnoliopsida; Fabales; Fabaceae
Exons: 3
Source: RefSeq, a predicted model, not a curated record